Molecule: ribosomal RNA, 107 nt
Filed under: uncultured bacterium
Lineage: Bacteria
Description: partial 16S ribosomal RNA
Rfam family: Bacterial small subunit ribosomal RNA
Source: RNAcentral
CCUUGUACACACCGCCCGUCAAGUCAUGGAAGCUGGUAGCGCCCGAAGUCCGUUUAGCCAACCGUAACAGGAGGCGACGGCCGACGGCAAGACCGGUGACUGGGACU